This 497-nucleotide ribosomal RNA is filed under the name uncultured bacterium. RNAcentral describes it as "partial 16S ribosomal RNA". It matches the Rfam family "Bacterial small subunit ribosomal RNA", at positions 28 to 507 of the family's 1533-position model. The record is from RNAcentral.
GAUGAACGCUGGCGGCGUGCCUAAUACAUGCCAGUCGAGCGAACGGACGAGAAGCUUGCUUCUCUGAUGUUAGCGGCGGACGGGUGAGUAACACGUGGAUAACCUACCUAUAAGACUGGGAUAACUUCGGGAAACCGGAGCUAAUACCGGAUGAUAUUUUGAACCGCAUGGUUCAAAAGUGAAAGACGGUCUUGCUGUCACUUAUAGAUGGAUCCGCGCUGCAUUAGCUAGUUGGUAAGGUAACGGCUUACCAAGGCAACGAUGCAUAGCCGACCUGAGAGGGUGAUCGGCCACACUGGAACUGAGACACGGUCCAGACUCCUACGGGAGGCAGCAAUAGGGAAUCUUCCGCAAUGGGCGAAAGCCUGACGGAGCAACGCCGCGUGAGUGAUGAAGGUCUUCGGAUCGUAAAACUCUGUUAUUAGGGAAGAACAUAUGUGUAAGUAACUGUGCACAUCUUGACGGUACCUAAUCAGAAAGCCACGGCUAACUACGUG